This 458-nucleotide ribosomal RNA is filed under the name uncultured bacterium. RNAcentral's name for it is "partial 16S ribosomal RNA". It matches the Rfam family "Bacterial small subunit ribosomal RNA", at positions 338 to 795 of the family's 1533-position model. The record is from RNAcentral.
CCUACGGGUGGCUGCAGUGGGGAAUAUUGCACAAUGGGGGAAACCCUGAUGCAGCGACGCCGCGUGAGUGAAGAAGCGUUUCGGCGCGUAAAGCUCUGUCAGCGGGGAAGAAACACGGUUCGCGAGAGCCGCGGACGGUACCCGACCAAGAACCCCCGGCUAACUACGUACCAGCAGCCGCGGUAAUACGUAGGGGGCAAGCGUUAUCCGGGUCCACUGGGGGGAAAGGGAGCGUAGACGGGGAAACAAGUGUGGAGUGAAAGGCCGGGGCCCAACCCCGGGACUGCUCUGGAAACUGCCUGGCUGGAGUACAGGAGAGGUAAGUGGAAUUCCUAGUGGAGCGGUGAAAUGCGUAGAUAUUAGGAGGAACACCAGUGGCGAAGGCGGCUUACUGGACUGUAACUGACGUUGAGGCUCGAAAGCGUGGGGAGCAAACAGGAUUAGAUACCCUGGUAGUC